AAAAUAAAAUAUUAAAAUCUCAGGUACCUUUCUUUAUUGUGAGGUGACUUCCUUCCCCUUCAACCACGCAAUCCUUCAAAAUAUAUCACUAACAUGGUUCUCUUGUGUUUUCAUUUUAAAUUCGAUCGCUCAAAUAAACGCCAACUCUCUCAAUUGCUCUUCGGGUGACUGUCACCUUUCUGAUAAUGCCCGUUCUAAGCGACCACAUCUUGCUGCCACCUCACUAGCAACACAUACUGAUCGAAGAUCUUCGUCUUGAGACACUGCGUAUUAACAAUGCUGGGGCCAAAAAGCUAUCUAGUGGCAAUCACGUACUGGAAGGCAUGGCGUGGUGGAAGGAUCGCAGCUGAGCAAGAAGUCUUGACGUUUGAUUAAGAAGGAUCAGCGAAAACUCAAAUAUUACCAUAGAUCCAUAUAUAUUUACCAUAGUUGUGCAAACUGAACUUUACGAUGACAACGUGUGACAAAUGAUAGUAGUGCAAAUUGCUGUGUUUGAUAACUUAUACGCAACUCAUGCUAUAGAAGCUUUUUUUUAAAUUACAGUACCGUUUUAAGAGACCACUAUACUUAAUUAAAACGCUCGGUUUGUUUUUAGCCUUCCAUUUUUUUCUGUAGUGUAAAUAAAUAUAUCUCAAAAAUAGAAUUCGCAAUCUUCUUGAACUAGUACUACAAUAGCAUCAGGAAAAUGAAAAGUUACGUCCAUGAAACGCCCAAUUUCAUUCCAACAGGAAAAUCUGCAAAAUAGCUGAAUACCACCUUAAUUAUGAAUUGUUUAGCUAAUUUUAUUAAAUUAUCAUAAAAAUACAAGAAAAUCCAAUGACAUAGCAUAAAAAUGAGAAAAUCAACAGUUUGAACAGGCUAACUCUCAACAAUCGCACGGUAUUACAUUUGUACAAUUUAUUACAAAUUUAUUUAAGUUUUAAUAACGCACGAAUACAAAAAUUCAAAUCACUUUGUCAAUCUCAGAAUGUGAUUAAUCAACGAAAAUUAUAUUAUGCUCCAAUCUCCAAUCCAUUAACUAAAUUACAUAAAGUUUAAGAUUUAUUAUUGUUUGAUAUUCUUGUGGACUACAUCAUUUUUCGCGAACAUAACACAUGGUGGUAACUAUCUGUUGAGCACGUGGCGUGAAGGAGCUGAAUGCCGCCCUUGUAUUAGACGAGAACACAUUUGACGCCCACAUGCGCCAAUAUUUGGCUGCACGAAGAAAACUCAGCCAGCGGAUAUGAUAUGAUGAUCAUUAAAAGAUUUUUUAAUUGCUCGAGAACAUUAAAACAUUAAUACUA
Bombyx mori (domestic silkworm) is the source of this 1283-nucleotide long non-coding RNA. RefSeq lists it as uncharacterized. The transcript is spliced from 2 exons. The record is from RefSeq and is a predicted model, not a curated record. Lineage: Eukaryota; Metazoa; Arthropoda; Insecta; Lepidoptera; Bombycidae.